Chelonia mydas (Green sea turtle) is the source of this 1339-nucleotide long non-coding RNA. RefSeq lists it as uncharacterized. The transcript has 4 exons. NCBI's taxonomy places the organism in Eukaryota, Metazoa, Chordata, Testudines, Cheloniidae. The record is from RefSeq and is a predicted model, not a curated record.
GGUGUAUUAACAUUUCCUCCAAAGGUAUUGCUAGCAUGUAACCUUCUAGGAAGUUUCCUGCAUGCCCCACAGUUUCACAGCAGUUGGAUGUAUCUGUUUACAGAGUAUCUGUGCAGUGACACCUGCUCAUAUUUUGUCCUCGAAAGUAAUUUCAGAUGACUGCUUCCAGAAACCAAAGCAUCAAGUAUCCUGGCAUUGAGGGGUGCAUAUCAGGACGCUGAUUGAUUAUAACAUGCUGAGUUGGGAAUAGAAUCCAGGAACCAAACUCCCAGUCCUUUCUAACUACUAGACAACACCACCAACCACACAUUGCUGCCUCCAUCAUCCCAGUGAAGUGAUUCAGACGCCUUUUAGAACUGGACAUACUUUAUUCUCAAUUGACAAGGGCAUUUUUGACAACACCAGGAAGAAGUUCCAGCAGCAGCAAUCCAAUUUGGGUCACCCGUCCGGCAGUGCAGAGUAUUAACAAGUCCACUUCACUUGACUUUUAAGUUCUGCCCUACAUCUAUUUAAAUAAACUAUGUCUGGAUCAAGAAGCAUUUUGGAAGAAUAGACACACAAAUAAUUUCUACGGGGAAAUGAUUACAGAGAAGUUAGCAUUGCUGACAUUCAAAGGGGUUGCUUUGAGGUCAAUCUGCUUGAAGAGGUUGAGAGCCUUUUCUCUACUCCAAGAAAUUCAUGGAGUGCAAGAGUCUCUUCAGUAAAAGAGGUGAUUGAUAGACCUCAAGACAUACUAGGUCAAAUCCACAUACAUUAUGCUGGCACUGUAGUACAGCGGUAGGGGUAUUGGAAUGGUUCACUUGAAUAUAUUCAUGGUUUGUUUUUUUUUUUUUUUUUUUUCUUCUUCUUCUUUAAGAGUCAUUCUCAUCCUACCUGUUAAUGAUUCUAGUUUGUCACUAGAUAAGUGCAUCAAAUUUACUGGGCAAACGGAAGAGCCCCCUCUGUCCUGUGUAUGGGCUUGGCUUGUGUUGUAUAACCUGCGGUGCAUACCAACAGAUAACUGGACUUGACUCCAGGCCAGUGAGUGACUCUUAAGUGAGUUCAACAUGCUUGUGCAUCUGGACUAGGGUGACCAGAUAGCAAGUGUGAAAAAUUGGGACAGAGGGUUGGGAGGUAAUAGGCACCUAAGUAAGAAAAAGCCCCAUAUAUCAGGACUGUCCCUAUAAAAUCAGGACAUCUGGUCAGUCUACUCUGGACUUAUUUAUUGCCAGAGGAAUUAGAUUUUCACUUGUACACUUUUAAAAAUUGCAUCUCAUGGUUAAAGUGGCAAGGUUAAUGUCAAUUUUUUCCAAUGCUAUUCUUUCUUAAAACGAACCAUUACAUUUAUGAUGACUUCAUU